CCUACGGGGUGCAGCAGUCGAGAAUCAUUCACAAUGGGGGAAACCCUGAUGGUGCGACGCCGCGUGGGGGAAUGAAGGUCUUCGGAUUGUAAACCCCUGUCAUGUGGGAGCAAAUUAAAAAGAUCGUACCACAAGAGGAAGAGACGGCUAACUCUGUGCCAGCAGCCGCGGUAAUACAGAGGUCUCAAGCGUUGUUCGGAAUCACUGGGCGUAAAGCGUGCGUAGGCUGUUUCGUAAGUCGUGUGUGAAAGGCGCGGGCUCAACCCGCGGACGGCACAUGAUACUGCGAGACUAGAGUAAGGGAGGGGGAACCGGAAUUCUCGGUGUAGCAGUGAAAUGCGUAGAUAUCGAGAGGAACACUCGUGGCGAAGGCGGGUUCCUGGACAUUAACUGACGCUGAGGCACGAAGGCCAGGGGAGCGAAAGGGAUUAGAUACCCUGGUAGUC
RNAcentral lists this ribosomal RNA (446 nucleotides) under uncultured bacterium. Its description in RNAcentral is "partial 16S ribosomal RNA". It matches the Rfam family "Bacterial small subunit ribosomal RNA", at positions 338 to 795 of the family's 1533-position model. The record is from RNAcentral.